Molecule: non-coding RNA, 1017 nt
Organism: Cinara cedri
Lineage: Eukaryota; Metazoa; Arthropoda; Insecta; Hemiptera; Aphididae
Source: the annotation of a GenBank genome assembly
GGUAAAUUGAGUUUUUAUUGUACACUAUAAAAUAGUUUGUAUAAUUUAUUAAUAUCCUUAAUCGUAAUAAUAAUGUACAAUAUAGAUUAUAGACAUAAUAUUAUACUAUAAUAAUGUAUAGUUUAUAUAAUAAUGAUAUCAAACUAGUUGAAGGGGGGGAGGGGAAAAAAAUUACAACAUAGUCGAACGAAAAAUUACCGAUUCUAGAUCGUACAGAAUAAUAAUAGUAAUAAUAUACGUCAUGUUAAUAAUAUAAUAAUUAUGUAUAAAUAUAGUUUUUUUUUUCUUCAAUAAGAAUAAUAAUAUACAACUCAAUAAUUAUCUAAAAAUUAGAUUUUUUUUUUUUUUUUAUAAUAUAUAAUAUGUUAUGUAACUAUAUAUAAACAAAAUUGUAUAAAUUUCAUUGCCGUACGGUUAUUAAUAAUGUACAAUGUUACAACGUAUUAUGAAAUUAUAUUUUGUUUUAGGACACAUCGUUUAAUGAUUUAUACAAAAUACUUUUUUUUUUUAUUUUUUUUUUUCUGUUUUUCUUAUCAUUUAUUCGAAUAUUUACACGAUAACGUCGAGUAUGUACGACCCGAAACGCGAAAACAACCCCCGCCCCCCGUGAACGCCGCGCGCACCCAAUCAAACGGACGUUACCGCAGUCGACCAACGAUCUUCCGGCGCGUCUUUUUUAGCGCUACAUAGGCGACCGCCCGCGUACAGUUACGUCGGUAUUACUUGGUGUUGCGUAAAUAUCCGGCGAAUCGGUCAGACCGGUUCCCACCGCAAUGGGAACGCCGCAAUAUUGUCGAACGCGUACAAUGCGAUUUCGUCGAACCGUUACGUUAAACCGCAUAAUAUAAAUCGGAACGUUUUUAAAUUAAUAAUAUUGUACAAUUUUCUUUAAUUUUUUUUUUUUUUUUUUUCGGAAUACGCUGAUGGACAAUAUCAUCAAUAUAACAAUAAUUACUCGGGUAUUCGCUGGGUAUGAAGUAUUAUUUUUACCAUACAGAACAAAAAAAAAAAAAAAAU